UUGACGGGCCAAACCAUCGCUAUAAAUUAGAUGAAUAUUUAUAGAGGAAAGUCCGGGCUCCAUAGAGUAUGACACCGGUUAAUUGCCGGGCCCGGUCUCCAGGGAGCUGGAAUUUUUUUCUAGUCACCUGGAGACCGGGACAGAAAGUGCCGCAGAAAAUAUACCGCCAUUUACAGCUUGUUUUUCAUCGUUGAUAAUGGUAAGGGUGAAAUGGUGAGGUAAGAGCUCACCGGAAAAGGGGCAACCUUUUUCGCAGGGUAAACCUUGUCAGGAGCAAAGCUAAGCAGCAGGGGAGUGACUCGCUCGUAUUCCUGCGGGUAGGCUGCGAGAACCUGUUGAAAAAACAGGUCCAGAUAGAUGAUGGUUAGUACAGAACCCGGCUUAUUGGCCCGUUUUUUUU
RNAcentral lists this RNase P RNA (400 nucleotides) under Spirochaetales bacterium. RNAcentral's name for it is "RNase P RNA component class A". It matches the Rfam family "Bacterial RNase P class A". Rfam says of the family: Ribonuclease P (RNase P) is a ubiquitous endoribonuclease, found in archaea, bacteria and eukarya as well as chloroplasts and mitochondria. Its best characterised activity is the generation of mature 5'-ends of tRNAs by cleaving the 5'-leader elements of precursor-tRNAs. The record is from RNAcentral. Lineage: Bacteria; Pseudomonadati; Spirochaetota; Spirochaetia; Spirochaetales.